RNAcentral lists this ribosomal RNA (739 nucleotides) under Lactococcus lactis. Its description in RNAcentral is "bacterial SSU rRNA". It matches the Rfam family "Bacterial small subunit ribosomal RNA", at positions 135 to 862 of the family's 1533-position model. Lineage: Bacteria; Bacillati; Bacillota; Bacilli; Lactobacillales; Streptococcaceae. The record is from RNAcentral.
AGCGGGGGACAACAUUUGGAAACGAAUGCUAAUACCGCAUAACAACUUUAAACACAAGUUUUAAGUUUGAAAGAUGCAAUUGCAUCACUCAAAGAUGAUCCCGCGUUGUAUUAGCUAGUUGGUGAGGUAAAGGCUCACCAAGGCGAUGAUACAUAGCCGACCUGAGAGGGUGAUCGGCCACAUUGGGACUGAGACACGGCCCAAACUCCUACGGGAGGCAGCAGUAGGGAAUCUUCGGCAAUGGACGAAAGUCUGACCGAGCAACGCCGCGUGAGUGAAGAAGGUUUUCGGAUCGUAAAACUCUGUUGGUAGAGAAGAACGUUGGUGAGAGUGGAAAGCUCAUCAAGUGACGGUAACUACCCAGAAAGGGACGGCUAACUACGUGCCAGCAGCCGCGGUAAUACGUAGGUCCCGAGCGUUGUCCGGAUUUAUUGGGCGUAAAGCGAGCGCGGGUGGUUUAUUAAGUCUGGUGUAAAAGGCAGUGGCUCAACCAUUGUAUGCAUUGGAAACUGGUAGACUUGAGUGCAGGAGAGGAGAGUGGAAUUCCAUGUGUAGCGGUGAAAUGCGUAGAUAUAUGGAGGAACACCGGUGGCGAAAGCGGCUCUCUGGCCUGUAACUGACACUGAGGCUCGAAAGCGUGGGGAGCAAACAGGAUUAGAUACCCUGGUAGUCCACGCCGUAAACGAUGAGUGCUAGAUGUAGGGAGCUAUAAGUUCUCUGUAUCGCAGCUAACGCAAUA